RNAcentral lists this ribosomal RNA (497 nucleotides) under uncultured bacterium. Its description in RNAcentral is "partial 16S ribosomal RNA". It matches the Rfam family "Bacterial small subunit ribosomal RNA", at positions 28 to 507 of the family's 1533-position model. The record is from RNAcentral.
GAUGAACGCUGGCAGCGUGCCUAAUACAUGCAAGUCGAGCGAACAGACGAGGAGCUUGCUCCUCUGACGUUAGCGGCGGACGGGUGAGUAACACGUGGAUAACCUACCUAUAAGACUGGGAUAACUUCGGGAAACCGGAGCUAAUACCGGAUAAUAUAUUGAACCGCAUGGUUCAAUAGUGAAAGACGGUUUUGCUGUCACUUAUAGAUGGGUCCGCGCCGCAUUAGCUAGUUGGUAAGGUAACGGCUUACCAAGGCGACGAUGCGUAGCCGACCUGAGAGGGUGAUCGGCCACACUGGAACUGAGACACGGUCCAGACUCCUACGGGAGGCAGCAGUAGGGAAUCUUCCGCAAUGGGCGAAAGCCUGACGGAGCAACGCCGCGUGAGUGAUGAAGGUCUUCGGAUCGUAAAACUCUGUUAUUAGGGAAGAACAAAUGUGUAAGUAACUAUGCACGUCUUGACGGUACCUAAUCAGAAAGCCACGGCUAACUACGUG